This 270-nucleotide ribosomal RNA is filed under the name uncultured archaeon. Its description in RNAcentral is "partial 16S ribosomal RNA". It matches the Rfam family "Archaeal small subunit ribosomal RNA", at positions 477 to 747 of the family's 1478-position model. The record is from RNAcentral.
CUGCAGCCCGAGUGGUGAUCGAUUUUAUUGAGCCUAAAGCGUCCGUAGCCGGACUAGUAAACCCUUGGGUAAAUUGGGCAGCUUAACUGUCCAAAUUCCGAGGGGACUGCUAGUCUUGGGACCGGGAGAGGUCAGAGGUACUCAAGGGGUAGGGGCUAAAUCCUGUAAUCCUUUGGGGACCACCAGUGGCGAAGGCGUCUGACUAGAACGGAUCCGACGGUAAGGGACGAAAGCCAGGGGAGCGAGCCGGAUUAGAGACCCCAGUAGUCC